Molecule: ribosomal RNA, 482 nt
Filed under: Starmerella etchellsii
Lineage: Eukaryota; Fungi; Ascomycota; Dipodascomycetes; Dipodascales; Trichomonascaceae
Description: eukaryotic LSU rRNA
Rfam family: Eukaryotic large subunit ribosomal RNA
Source: RNAcentral
AAACCAACAGGGAUUGCCUUAGUAACGGCGAGUGAACAGGCAAGAGCUCAGAUUUGAAAGCCUUUUUGGCAUUGUAUUCUGAAGUCAGUUUCCUGAGUAUCGGUGUUUAAGUCUUCUGGAAAGGAGCGCCAUGGAGGGUGAUAGCCCCGUACGGCACCUCACUCAUUGUAGGAUUCUGACGUGGAGUCGAGUUGUUUGGGAAUGCAGCUCAAAAGGGUGGUAUGCUCCAUCUAAAGCUAAAUAUCUGUGAGAGACCGAUAGCGAACAAGUACUGUGAAGGAAAGAUGAAAAGAACUUUGAAAAGAGAGUGAAAAAGUACGUGAAAUUGUUGAAAUGGAAGGAUAUGCCGCUAACAAUGUAGAGCCGUGUUUGGGGGGAAGACAAAAGCUGAAGAAUGUAUCUCUUUUAGGGAAUUAUAACUUCAGUCAAUAUUCCCAUCCGGGCGCGAGGACCUCAGGCUCUACUAAAUGGUGGUCUAUCAC